GCUCCAGUAGCGUAUAUUAAAGUUGUUGCGGUUAAAAAGCUCGUAGUUGGAUUUGUAGUUUCUUGCCAUCCGGCGGAAACACUUUCCUGUAAAGGAAUUUUUACUUUGAAGAAAUUAGAGCGUUCCAGGCAAGUGAAAGCUUUGAAUACAUUAGCAUGGUAUAAAGAUAAAGGAUAUAUUCUUAGGUUUCAGAAUAUAGC
This 200-nucleotide ribosomal RNA is filed under the name uncultured eukaryote. RNAcentral describes it as "partial 18S ribosomal RNA". It matches the Rfam family "Eukaryotic small subunit ribosomal RNA", at positions 588 to 853 of the family's 1831-position model. The record is from RNAcentral.